UGAGGAAUAUUGGACAAUGGGCGCAAGCCUGAUCCAGCCAUGCCGCGUGCAGGAAGAAGCAUCUAUGGUGUGUAAACUGCUUUUGUACGGGAAGAAACACUCCUUCGUGAAGGAGCUUGACGGUACCGUAAGAAUAAGGAUCGGCUAACUCCGUGCCAGCAGCCGCGGUAAUACGGAGGAUCCAAGCGUUAUCCGGAAUCAUUGGGUUUAAGGGGUCCGUAGGCGGUUUAGUAAGUCAGUGGUGAAAGCCCAUCGCUCAACGAUGGAACGGCCAUUGAUACUGCUAGGCUUGAGUUAGUAGGAGGUAACUAGAAUAUGUAGUGUAGCGGUGAAAUGCUUAGAUAUUACGUGGAAUACCGAUUGCGAAGGCAGGUUACUACUAAUGGAUUGACGCUGAUAGACGAAAGCGUGGGGAGCGAACA
Molecule: ribosomal RNA, 422 nt
Filed under: uncultured bacterium
Lineage: Bacteria
Description: bacterial SSU rRNA
Rfam family: Bacterial small subunit ribosomal RNA
Source: RNAcentral